UUUAAUAUGGCAGACUAAGUGCAAUGGAUUUAAACUCCAUAAAUAAAGAUAUAUCUUUUAUUAAUA
This 66-nucleotide transfer RNA is filed under the name Polyrhachis turneri. RNAcentral's name for it is "tRNA-Leu". Lineage: Eukaryota; Metazoa; Arthropoda; Insecta; Hymenoptera; Formicidae. The record is from RNAcentral.